CCCUACCCAAAAGAAUAUUCAGCAACAUUCUUUUCCCCUUAUCACAAUAAUAGCGUGCAACAACAAUGCGUAGCAACCCGAAAUUCCCAGCGAACAAAACCUAGAAGCCAGUUGUGCGUGAUAUUUCUUCCUCCCAUGUUUCUAUCUUCGUAUGGCUACAACAGUAGAAAGCCAGAAAGGCACACGACUUGCGUCCUCCAGAUGGAGCCACGUCACAACAAGGACGUUUAGGAUCGACCCCAAGCGUCCGUUUCCCUUUCUCCUUCUAUUUUAAGUCGAAUUUUCAGAAAAAGAUUUCUUAUCCAAAAAUGGAAAAUUUUAAAUGGGAAUGGGCCCAAUCUUCUCUGUUUUCACCCCAAAAUCGAAACCUAGUUUUCCCUAUAUAUACUCUCUUUGGAUUCACUGUUAAGGGGGAUUUUUUUCCGGUUGGCUUCUUUCUCUUGGUUGGAAAUUUUUGGAAAAAUUGGGAGAGAUUUUUGUAGUUGAAGAACAAAAAUUAGAAGUGAGUUGAGAGAAUUUUAAUUAAGGCAGAGAGGAUAGUUCAAGUAGUUAGUCACAAAAAUACAUGUAAAAUACAUUCGAGAAAAGGUAAACAAGGCAUUUUUUCUUGCUAUUGCAUUCGUGAUUCUGUGGUGGAACUUGCCGUCAUUACCUUACUUGUUCUUGUCUUGCUCGAUGCUUCUGAAAAGACUUUGCCUUGACAUCUUCCUUUGGGCUAUGGAGGCCCAAUUCCUAUACUCGAGUCAAGCCUACAAAAUCGAUGAACAGGUCCCGAAGGAAAGGAAACUAAAGUGGAAAAAGUUGAAGAGAGUGAGCCAUAAGAGUUCAAUUGUUUUUUUAAAAUUUUGUAUUUUGCUAUGUUGGGCCUAAGCCCCCUUAUUUUUUUUAUCAUUAUUAUAUUCUGAGAAUCCUAGGAAAGGUAAAAAAAAAUUGGGCCUAAGGCCCAAAGCAAAACGAAAUGGGUCCAAAUAUCGGUUCAGGCGGACAGAAAUACGAUUUGGACUCACUCUCUCUCCCUC
Molecule: long non-coding RNA, 1019 nt
Organism: Solanum pennellii
Lineage: Eukaryota; Viridiplantae; Streptophyta; Magnoliopsida; Solanales; Solanaceae
Exons: 2
Source: RefSeq, a predicted model, not a curated record